Molecule: ribosomal RNA, 805 nt
Filed under: Gordonia sp. (in: high G+C Gram-positive bacteria)
Lineage: Bacteria; Bacillati; Actinomycetota; Actinomycetes; Mycobacteriales; Gordoniaceae
Description: bacterial SSU rRNA
Rfam family: Bacterial small subunit ribosomal RNA
Source: RNAcentral
GGAAAAGGCCCGCUUGCGGGUACUCGAGUGGCGAACGGGUGAGUAACACGUGGGUGAUCUGCCCUGGACUCUGGGAUAAGCCUGGGAAACUGGGUCUAAUACCGGAUAUGACCUUACAUCGCAUGGUGUUUGGUGGAAAGCUUUUGCGGUUCAGGAUGGGCCCGCGGCCUAUCAGCUUGUUGGUGGGGUAAUGGCCUACCAAGGCGACGACGGGUAGCCGACCUGAGAGGGUGAUCGGCCACACUGGGACUGAGACACGGCCCAGACUCCUACGGGAGGCAGCAGUGGGGAAUAUUGCACAAUGGGCGCAAGCCUGAUGCAGCGACGCCGCGUGAGGGAUGACGGCCUUCGGGUUGUAAACCUCUUUCACCAGGGACGAAGCGCAAGUGACGGUACCUGGAGAAGAAGCACCGGCCAACUACGUGCCAGCAGCAGCGGUAAUACGUAGGGUGCGAGCGUUGUCCGGAAUUACUGGGCGUAAAGAGCUCGUAGGCGGUUUGUCGCGUCGUCUGUGAAAUUCUGCAACUCAAUUGUAGGCGUGCAGGCGAUACGGGCAGACUUGAGUACUACAGGGGAGACUGGAAUUCCUGGUGUAGCGGUGAAAUGCGCAGAUAUCAGGAGGAACACCGGUGGCGAAAGCGGCUCUCUGGGUAGUAACUGACGCUGAGGAACGAAAGCGUGGGUAGCGAACAGGAUUAUAUACCCUGGUAUUCCACCCCGUACACGCUGUGUCCUAGUGGUGGGGCUCAUUUCACGAGUUCUCUGCCGCAGCUACCGCAGUAAUUACACCCCCCGCGGUAGUACG